AUUUCACUUUUGUGUUUUCCUCUUCCUAUACCAUUACUCAUUGAGUGCCCUGUAAAAUUACAAUCGUACAUUUUCAACUCAGCAACCCAUUUGCAGUGCAAAAAUAGGGUCUAAAUAAUGGCUGAAUUAGCCCUACUGGACAGUUUCAGAUGUAACACUCUGUAAUAAUUAUAUUGCAGGCUGGAUUAGGAUGCUAUUAUCAUAAUCUGGACGUUUACAAUUAUCUGUAAUUUGCAAAGAUGCGCCAGGUCUUGAUUACAGCAGUUUUUUUUUUUUUUUGUAUCACGCUAACCAUCACUAAACAGUGACAGUAAUAACAGCUAAUUUUGCUGGCAAUAUAAGAGGUGCUGGGGUGUGCAAACAAUUUCACACCUGGAUGUGCUCACUCAACCAAGAAUAUAGAGAAAGAGCUUCUGCCCUGAGACUCAGAAAAAAUUUUCCUCUGCUUCUGUUCAGUAUAGAUUUCUAGACCCUGAUCAUUGCUUAAGAGAUAUUCACUGGGGGUCCUACGUCUCUGCAAUUUGUGUAUGAAUAACAGAAUAAUUUCCCUCUUUUGUUUCGCCUUUCCUGUUCCUGAAUCUAAAUAAAGAUGGCUUUUUAGUAUUAAAAGUGGAAGAAAAUUACAGGUAAUUAUCUUUGACGGUAAAAACGCUGUAAUCAGCGGGCUACAUGAAAAAUUACUCUAAUUAUGGCUGCAUUUAAGAGAAUGGAAAAAAACCUUCUUGUGGAUAAAAACCUUAAAUUGUCCCCAAUGUCUGCUUCAAAUUGGAUGGCACUGCAGCUGGAGGCUUUGUUCAGAAUUGAUCCUGGGGAGCUACGAACCCAAAGUUUCACAGUAGGAAGGGGGAAAAAAGAAAAGAAAACAUUUUUCCUAAUGUAACAAUGCGAAUGCUAGAAAAUGACAAGACUGAUCGGUUUUAAACCAUUCUGAAGACUGACUGAGCGUGGAAGUUGCUCAACAAAAAAAGGAACGGGUAUAUUGGUAAGUAGUCUUUGCUUUGUGUCUAAUUAUAGUGACUGUCCUUUUGCACGACUGUAUGUCGCUGUCAUUAUAUGGAGCACUCUGAGUAUCUCUAUUGACUUCUGAUAAAUGGCUCAGUGGUUUCAAGGUUCAUAAUUUGAAGGAUGCCCAGGUCUGUAGCCAUUAAUUCUCGCAGUAUGGGGCUUCCUGCUUGUAUGACGAAAGGACUUUUCAUUUUCAUUAUUUCUGUGCUUUCCACAAGAUCGGAAGGAUGUAUUUCAUUUAGGAUAGUACAUUUUCCUACCUACCUAGCUUGCAAAGGGUUUAAACAUUAAGUAGUCAUAAUUGUGAAUUUACUUUCUAUAUUUUAACCUUUUUCUCUGUAAGAAGAACUGCUUUCAAAUAAAGACAAAUACAGCUGUAUUUGUAUUUGACUGAGGAAAAGGGAAAGAAGAAAACUCAGUUUCAGCACUGGAAAUUGCUGGAUGUCUAGGGGUUAACCUGGGAAUAACAUUCAAAUAUUUAAAAUAGAUAAAAUUGGAGAAAUAAAUGUGUUUAAAUUAUAAUAAAAAUAUAAAUGCAAUGGAAGCUAAGAAAACAUCCGUAGUUAAUGUUAAAGCACUUAAGACAAAAAAACUAGUGCUGCAAACUGACAUCUUCGUAGGCAUUUGAUGUUUAUAUAUAGGACUUCCCAUAUUAGGAAGUAGGAAUUCUUUUUAAGAGUGAUAAAAAAUAUACUGGGAGGGAGUGGAGGGGGAGUAAGACAGAGACACACAGUGAGAAAUAUACAGAACACUCCCAGCAUUUUGUGGCUUUUACUCCAUAUAUGAAAGAAGACAAAAACAUACAAAGUAUAUGUACAACUAAAAUUCAACAAUAUAUACAGAAAUGUUUCUCAAUAUAAACGUCCCUAUUAGCUUAGUGAACGCCACCAUUUCACCUAGUAAAGGUAUCAAAGCAAUAGAAUGGUGAUUUUGGUUGUUUCUUCUGUCUUUCCUGAUUCCAGUUCAGGGUUUGGGGUGGGAUGGGGAAAGAGUGGUUUUCUCUCUUUUCUUUCUUUUUUUAAACCAUCAUUCUUGCUCAUUGCAUUUUGAUAAAACAUACAGCGUUCCCUUUGUGGCAAUGUUCUGCCCUUACAGCCGAUUUUCCCUUUUCUUUAGAGAGGGUGUUAUGUGAGGGAUUGUUUUCUUUUUUCUUUUUUUUUUCCUUUUUGUCAGUCUGGGAUUUGGUAAAUAAAAAUUCAGGAGUCCCAAAUGUUUAUCUUUCAUCAUGUAAUGUCUUAAGCUCAUUAAACAAGUAAAACGCUGCCAUGUUUGUGCAGAUUCCUCUGGUGUGGGAAAAAAGGUUGUUUUUUUUUUUUUCAAUCAUUUUUGAUGGAUACUCCCAAAGAGAAGAAGAGGCUAGAGCCUGGAUCCCAAGGGAUAAGGGUGGGGGGGGGGGAAACCGAUCCUUACAAGGAGGGGUUUUCAGGAGCACUGGCAUAGAAACCAGUCUAGGCUCUCUGGAUCUCUCCUCUGCCCUCCCCCCACCCCCCAUGCAAAGAUCAAUUACUGAGGCUGCUCAAAGGGAAAAAGCAGAUGAGAAGAAGAGAAAGAU
Sorex fumeus (smoky shrew) is the source of this 2557-nucleotide long non-coding RNA. RefSeq lists it as uncharacterized. The record is from RefSeq and is a predicted model, not a curated record. NCBI's taxonomy places the organism in Eukaryota, Metazoa, Chordata, Mammalia, Eulipotyphla, Soricidae. The transcript is spliced from 2 exons.